This 101-nucleotide non-coding RNA is filed under the name unclassified sequences. The record is from Rfam.
ACAAUGAUACUUCCGUCCAGUCCUAAAGCCGAGCGAGAUAAAACCGUCACAGCAAAGGAGGGCGGCUCCGGGAGACCCUCGGGGUGGUGAGAUUCCAAUGA